GCCUGAAUAGCUCAGUUGGUUAGAGCAUGGUGCUGAUAAUACCAAGAUUGCAGGUUCCAGUCCUUGUAUGGGAA
Molecule: non-coding RNA, 74 nt
Organism: Podarcis lilfordi (Lilford's wall lizard)
Lineage: Eukaryota; Metazoa; Chordata; Lepidosauria; Squamata; Lacertidae
Source: the annotation of a GenBank genome assembly